RNAcentral lists this transfer RNA (57 nucleotides) under Capillaria sp. cat-2018. RNAcentral's name for it is "tRNA-Ser". The record is from RNAcentral. Lineage: Eukaryota; Metazoa; Nematoda; Enoplea; Trichinellida; Capillariidae.
AAAAUAGAUUUGGAAGUUUGAAACUUCUUUUUUCAGAAAUAUUUACUGACUAUUUUA